This is a non-coding RNA of Nomascus leucogenys (northern white-cheeked gibbon), 117 nucleotides long. It matches the Rfam family "Metazoan signal recognition particle RNA". From Rfam's summary of the family: The signal recognition particle (SRP) is a universally conserved ribonucleoprotein. The record is from Rfam. Lineage: Eukaryota; Metazoa; Chordata; Mammalia; Primates; Hylobatidae.
GCUGGGCGCAGUGGCUCGCGCCUGUAAUCCCAGCACUGUGGGAGGCCGAGGCGGGUGGAUCACCUGAGGUCAGGAGUUUGAGAACAGCCUGACCAACAUGGCGAGAGCCCGUCUCUA